This 491-nucleotide ribosomal RNA is filed under the name uncultured bacterium. Its description in RNAcentral is "bacterial SSU rRNA". It matches the Rfam family "Bacterial small subunit ribosomal RNA", at positions 26 to 518 of the family's 1533-position model. The record is from RNAcentral.
AGGACGAACGCUGGCGGCGUGCCUAACACAUGCAAGUCGAACGGUAACAUUUGACUGAUCCUCGGGAUGAAGAAUUUAGUUAGUGGCGGACGGGUGAGUAACGCGUGAGUAACCUGCCUCUGAGAGGGGAAUAACGUUCUGAAAAGAACGCUAAUACCGCAUAACACAUAUUUGCCGCAUGACAGAUAUGUCAAAGAUUUUAUCGCUCGGAGAUGGACUCGCGUCCGAUUAGUUAGUUGGUGAGGUAACGGCUCACCCAAGGCCGCGAUCGGUAGCCGGACUGAGAGGUUGAACGGCCACAUUGGGACUGAGUACACGGCCCAGACUCCUACGGGAGGCAGCAGUGGGGGAUAUUGCGCAAUGGGGGCAACCCUGACGCAGCAACGCCGCGUGAAGGAUGAAGGUUUUCGGAUUGUAAACUUCUUUUAUCAGGGACGAACUCUGACGGUACCUGAUGAAUAAGCUCCGGCUAACUACGUGCCAGCCGCCGC